Rhinopithecus roxellana (golden snub-nosed monkey) is the source of this 943-nucleotide RNA transcript. It is a transcript of the gene named ANKRD40 C-terminal like, with no coding region annotated. The record is from RefSeq and is a predicted model, not a curated record. Lineage: Eukaryota; Metazoa; Chordata; Mammalia; Primates; Cercopithecidae. The transcript has 3 exons.
AUUCUUCACUGAACCUCCUGCUCCAGCCUCUGCCUCCUCCAUUUUGAUGUCUAGAAUCAGGGGAUCCAGGAUCAUCAACAAGGUCAUUUUCCCAGACAGGUGUGCUGAGGCUGUAGAAAGUGCUUUUUAUUUGGUUGGGAGCUUGUGCAUAAAUGCGAGAGGGGCUGCACAUCUGACGGACUACAGAGGUGACUCAUGGCUGAACCGGAACAGGACAUCGGGGAGAAGCCAGAAGUCAGAAUUCAGAACCCCAAAGAAAAUGACUUCAUUGAAAUUGAACUGAAGAGGCAAGAACUGAGUUACCAAAACCUACUAAAAGUGAGCUGCUGUGAACUGGGGAUUAACCCAGAACAAGUGGAGAAGAUCAGAAAGCUACCAAACACACUGCUCAGAAAGGUAAGGGUUAACAGUUUCUAAAUGCAGAAUCACAGUGGAUGACAUCAUGUUCUCUGGAGCCAAUCGUUUACACUUUUGCAUUUCAUGACACCAGAAAUCCUGGCUGCAGAAUGGCCAAACAUGGUAGCUAGGUCAUUUUCAAUCUGGCACUUUUAAGAUUUGCACAUCUAAUCCAUAAACCUUUUGAAAACCUCUGAAUGGUCCGAUCACAGUGGCUCACACCAGUACAAUCCCAGCACUUUGGGAAGCCGAGGUGGGCGGAUCACAAGGUCAGGAGAUGGAGACCAUCCUGGCCAACAUGGUGAAACCCCAUCUCUACUAAAAGCACAAAAAUUAGCUGGGCAUGGCAGCGAGUGCCUGUAAUCACAGCUACUUAGGAGGCUGAGGCAGGAGAAUUGCUUGAACCCAGGAGGCGGAGAUUGUGGUGAGCCGAGAUAGCACCACUGCACUCCAGCCUUGUGACACAGCUAGACUCUGUCUCAAAAAAAAAAACAAACCUCUGAAUGACAAGUGACUCCCCAAUUUAAGACUUUAGUUCAGUGCUUUU